CCUACGGGUGGCCGCAGUGGGGAAUAUUGGACAAUGGGGGCAACCCUGAUCCAGCCAUGCCGCGUGUGUGAAGAAGGCCCUCGGGUUGUAAAGCACUUUCAGUGAGGAAGAACGCCUGGUGGUUAAUACCCAUCAGGAAAGACAUCACUCACAGAAGAAGCACCGGCUAACUCCGUGCCAGCAGCCGCGGUAAUACGGAGGGUGCGAGCGUUAAUCGGAAUUACUGGGCGUAAAGCGCGCGUAGGUGGCUUGAUAAGCCGGUUGUGAAAGCCCCGGGCUCAACCUGGGAACGGCAUCCGGAACUGUCAAGCUAGAGUGCAGGAGAGGAAGGUAGAAUUCCCGGUGUAGCGGUGAAAUGCGUAGAGAUCGGGAGGAAUACCAGUGGCGAAGGCGGCCUUCUGGACUGACACUGACACUGAGGUGCGAAAGCGUGGGUAGCAAACAGGAUUAGAUACCCUUGUAGUC
This 465-nucleotide ribosomal RNA is filed under the name Vreelandella stevensii. Its description in RNAcentral is "partial 16S ribosomal RNA". It matches the Rfam family "Bacterial small subunit ribosomal RNA", at positions 338 to 795 of the family's 1533-position model. Lineage: Bacteria; Pseudomonadati; Pseudomonadota; Gammaproteobacteria; Oceanospirillales; Halomonadaceae. The record is from RNAcentral.